GGCGGAAGACUGGGUAGACUCAUUAUGUGAUGAUUUUUCAGAGAACAGUGAGAACACUAUUACUACACCAUUAGGUGUGAAUCACUCAUGUUAUACAAGAAAAAAAUGUUAGAAAGUAAUAGAUUUCCACAUAGAAAAAAAGUUAUCUUCCUUAGAACAGAUUUAAGCUCUAAAAAAUUUAAAAGAAUAUCUGUCUGAAAAUGAAUCAUGGGUGUAUAAAUAUAAACCAGAAACUCUGCAUGAACUUGAUGUGCAGAAGAUAACUGAAGUUGAAACAUGGAUAAAAGUUCAAGUCUUAGAAAGGCAACCCAAACAGGGUAUAUCUAUUUUAUUCAUAACAAGUCCUUUUAGAUGUGGAAAGACAAUUAGUAUAAAAAUACUAUCAAAGAAGCAUGGUAUUCAAGUACAAGAGUGGAUUGAUUAAUCCAGUUUUAACAGACUUCCAAAAAGAUUGUUUCAAGAUGUUUAAUCCUGAAUCAAGCUGCCUUAUAUUUCCCUAACAGUCUUAGAUCUCAGUUUACAAAGAGUUGUUACUAAGGGCAACAAAGCAUCGCAAGCUACAAAUGCUUGGAAAUGAUCUGAGGACUGAUAAGAACAUAAUUUUGGUUGAAGAUUUAUCUGAUUAGUUCUGUUGAGAUUCUGAUACUUUACAUGAAGUUCUAAGAAAGAAUGUGCAGACUGCCCGAUGUCCUCUUACAUUUAUAGUUUCUGACAGUCUCAAUGGAAAUAAUCAAAGGUUAUUGUUUCCCAGAGUAAUUCAAGAAGAGUGUUCUAUCUCAAAUAUUAGCUUCAACCCUGUGGCAACAACAAUUAUGAUAAAAUUUCUUAAUUGAAUACUGACUUUAGAUGGUAACAAGAAUGAAGGAAAAAGUAUUGUCCCUGAUAAAAACUUCUCUAGAAUUGCUCUGUCAAGGAUGUAUCUAAAGUGUAAGAAACAGCCUCCAGUUUUCUCCUUCAAAAGAAAAGGACAAUUUAUUUGACAACGAAAAAAAAAAAAAAAAAAAGGACUGUCAUUAAAAUCAGAUGCUAUGCUGUCAAAAUCAAAACAAAGAAAACAUCCUGACAGGGUUUUUGAAAAUCAAGAGGUCCAAGCUAUUGGUGGCAAAGUUGUUUCUCUGUUUCUCUUCAGAGCUUUAGGAAAAAAUGUAUUGUAGAAGAGCAUCCUUAACAGAACUAGACUCACCUUUGUUGCCUUCUCAUUUAAGAGAGUAUGGUAUGGGAUAUAUUACUUGUUCAAACUGAGGAAGUAGUAGAAAUGUCACACAUGCCAGGAGGGUUAUUUAUUUAAUUUAUAUCUUCACCAAAACUACAGGGAUUUUUUUUUAAUGAAAGUAGAUAUUCUUAUGAGAGCCAGUGAAUUUCUGAGUUUUGCAGAUAUCCCCAUUUGUGAAAAGAAUACAUGCUCUUUACUCAGGGUAGUACAUCUACAGCUAUGAAAGAUGUGAUACAUUUCAACAAAUCUUGAGGGUUUGCUCAUUGCCAAGAACAAUCAAGUUUUUGAACCUUGCACAAACCCCAGUAGUUUCUAACACACAAAAAGUAUUGAAAAAAUGGCCUGGCAACAAAAGCACUUUUCCUGACUUCUGCCUACCAGCUUUAUGUCUCCAAACUUAGCUAUUGCUAUAUCUUGUUCUGUUAACCAUUCAAAUGAGAAAUCAAGCUCAGAUUUUUCUUCUUUCAUCCAAGACAUUGGAAAGCUCCCUCUGGAGCAACACUUUGGAAGACUGAAAAUGGAAGCCCUACCUUAUGGGGAGCAUGGAAUAAUAGACUCUGACAGCAGAGAGGAGGCACAGCUUAAUGGAGGACAGCUUGUAGAGGAAGCUCUGGGUGAACUCACUCAAACCACUGAACCCAAAACCUGGUAUCUUUGAGUCAGAAUAGUGAGAAUGAAUUACCUGCCAACCAGCCUCAGCCCUUUUCAUCCCAAGGAGACACGGAAGAAGACAUGACAACAGAAGACUAUGAGAAUGAUGAGAU
Molecule: long non-coding RNA, 1977 nt
Filed under: Homo sapiens (human)
Lineage: Eukaryota; Metazoa; Chordata; Mammalia; Primates; Hominidae
Description: non-protein coding lnc-CAB39L-9:1
Source: RNAcentral